This 345-nucleotide long non-coding RNA is filed under the name Gossypium barbadense (sea-island cotton). RNAcentral describes it as "long non-coding RNA (GBAR_LNC017822)". The record is from RNAcentral. Lineage: Eukaryota; Viridiplantae; Streptophyta; Magnoliopsida; Malvales; Malvaceae.
UUCACUUAAGCCAAAAACGGUUCAAGCCGUUGUUUGCUUGGAUGAUUGGAUGCGAGCUAAGGGAUUUUCAGCAGGUAAUUGUUAUUCUCAUUUUAUUGUUCGAAUUUUUUAUUAUUUUUUCAUCAAUUUGAUUAUCUAAUUCUUUAUUCUUAUUUAAUGUUAGAAAUUGGUUGCAAAAAGGACGAUGAGGACGAUGAGGAUGAUGAUGUUUCUUCGGUAGCUUUUUAAGAUACUUUCUUUCUAAAUGUUUAAAAUUUAAUUUAGCUUACAAUUUAUAUUUUGUUAUGAAAUUAAAUAUGUUGAUGGAUUAAGGUAUGAAUAUUAUGGUUUGUUGCUUAAUUUUCC